CACGACUCCUGAGGCUACAUCAUAAAAGGCACUGCAGCUUCCACCUUGGUGUUUCAGAUUUCUCACUCUGGGAGAAGCUAGCAGCCAUACCAUGACACACUCAAGCAGGUCCAUGAAUAUACUCAUGUAGAGAGAAACUGAGGUUCCCAUCAACAGCUAGAACCGACCUGGUGACCACGUGAUUAAGCUACUUAGGAAGUGGCUCCAGCCCCAGUCAAGCCCUCAGAUGACUGCCACCCCAGCUGACAUCUGAGUAUAACUGCCUACAAGACCCUAGAAGUGUUGGGAUAUAACUUAUUGCUCACCCUGGGAAAAGCCAGCUGCCAUGUUAUGAGGCAUCCCUGUGGAGAGAUCUCGAUAUAAAGAGCAUAUGAAAAGCAGGUUGGGACUGGUGAGAAGACUGUGUAGUUGGACUGGUAAUUGUUUUUCUGUUUAAAUGACAACAAACUCCUCAAACCGUGAGGCCAGGUCUUCCUGAGGCCAGGUGGCACACCACAAGCUCCUGUGGGGCAGUUACACAAGCUGGCCUAUUAUUUGAAGAAGGACUGCAAAGAUUCAGAGCAAUUUGCUUUGGGAAAAAUGACAUCAGAAGUGAUAUUCAAUUACUCCUUUUAGAUGGAUUUCCAGAGAGACUGACUUUGUUCAUGAGCAACGACACAUCUUCUACACAGAUGGAUGGGAAGAAAGAAGAGAGAGGUGUAGACAAAGAUACAUUUCUAAGUGUGUUUGCAAGGGGGCCAGGAGGCAGACAGCAUGUGACCUGGGGUCCUCUGUGUUCUCUGUACAGCAGGAGAUGAGAACAUGCUGAGUGUUGGAGAAGUGGUGGUCAUCCCACUUGCUGUCCUGUGAUCCCCCACCCCACCUCUGGGACGUUGCCUCUUUUUGCUCUUGUAUCUUCAAUGCCUUUCUUCCUACCAGUUCUUCCAUUCAGCUGGUUAACAACCCCAAGAUUCUUUUAUUCCUCCCUCCAAAAGUUCCCCUGACUCUCAUCCUUCAUUCCCUCUUUCUUGAAACUCUCUCCUACAUGGUUCCUGGGACACCGUAUUCUCUUGGUCUACCUUAUUAUCCUAUUCGAUCUCUAUUUUAUUUUUGAGUUCUUCUCAGACGCUCUUUCCCAGAUUUCUCUACCCUGUUUCUCCUCACUGACUGCUGCAGUCAGCCUCCUUGAAUGUAUGUCUCUCAAUUCUAGCUGCUGUCCUAAGCAAGGCUUGAGCAGAACACCAGGUAUUGAGUAUAAUUAAAAUAUGCUUAUCCUCUCAGAAAUCUAUGUUCAGAAGCACCCUUAAUCCUUUUGCUGCUUGCAUUACACUCAACCUUACAAAAUAAAGUGAUA
RNAcentral lists this long non-coding RNA (1333 nucleotides) under Equus caballus (horse). Its description in RNAcentral is "lncRNA (ENSECAG00000030566.3)". Lineage: Eukaryota; Metazoa; Chordata; Mammalia; Perissodactyla; Equidae. The record is from RNAcentral.